RNAcentral lists this small nuclear RNA (24 nucleotides) under Arabidopsis thaliana (thale cress). RNAcentral's name for it is "snRNA_10992". The record is from RNAcentral. Lineage: Eukaryota; Viridiplantae; Streptophyta; Magnoliopsida; Brassicales; Brassicaceae.
CACUCUCUUCAAGAGAUCAUCAAA